This is a long non-coding RNA of Drosophila arizonae, 425 nucleotides long. RefSeq lists it as uncharacterized. Lineage: Eukaryota; Metazoa; Arthropoda; Insecta; Diptera; Drosophilidae. The record is from RefSeq and is a predicted model, not a curated record.
AUACAUACAUAUAUAUUGUGAGUUUUGAUGGCUCAGGACCAUUUCGAAGCUCGAACACAUUGAAGACAUUGGAGUUGUAAAUCAGCACACUACCAUAUAUAGAUCGGCAUCGAUACACCACUGACAAGUUACUACACAAACCACAUUUGUUGUGUUCUUAAUGGUUGACAAUAAGUGACACAGGUCUUUACCACAAUCCUUGACUAGAUUGAAAAUGAGAGGGGUCUUUCGCCACGACAAACACUUUUCCGCCUUUCAGUGUUGAACACUAACUCGACACUGUUGAUAUUGUUUAAUGGUUUUUGGAUUCCCAAUCAGCGUUGAGUCCAGUGCAGAAGAAAUGUCAAAAAAAAAGUAAAAUCAAAUCUGAAAAAACUUCUUCUCUGCUAUACAAAGCAUGAGAGGAACAUUGCUGGGCAGAGCUU